UACGUAGGGUGCGAGCGUUGUCCGGAAUUACUGGGCGUAAAGAGCUCGUAGGCGGCUCGUCGCGUUGUCCGUGAAAAUUUACCGCUCAACGGUGAACUUGCGGGCGAUACGGGCAGGCUAGAGUACUGCAGGGGAGACUGGAAUUCCUGGUGUAGCGGUGAAAUGCGCAGAUAUCAGGAGGAACACCGGUGGCGAAGGCGGGUCUCUGGGCAGUAACUGACGCUGAGGAGCGAAAGCGUGGGGAGCAAACAGG
RNAcentral lists this ribosomal RNA (253 nucleotides) under uncultured bacterium. RNAcentral describes it as "partial 16S ribosomal RNA". It matches the Rfam family "Bacterial small subunit ribosomal RNA", at positions 524 to 776 of the family's 1533-position model. The record is from RNAcentral.